CUGGGGAAAGAUCAAUGUUGAAAUUGUGGAGAAAGGCCACGGAUUGACACUUUUUUCAUAAAUUUUCCUUUUUAUUCAUUCAGAAUAAAAAAAGUGGUCCAAAGAAUCUCUUGUUGUCCAGUCUGGUUAAAAUAUCAACACAACGCAGAGAGAAGAUAAAGACCGGUCACAGUGGCAUGCGGUUACAAAAAUUGUAUAAUUUCUUUUCAUAUUUUAAACUGACCACACAUUUAAUGAAAAUGAUGUGCAGCAUUUAAUACAUACGUUAAUUUGAGGAAGGAAAGACGAAGAUCCAGUGAUUCCUCCUCCAACAGCACCUACAACAGCUGCGACUCCAAGAACACCUGCAGAGAU
Long non-coding RNA from Cyprinus carpio carpio, 354 nucleotides. The record is from Ensembl. NCBI's taxonomy places the organism in Eukaryota, Metazoa, Chordata, Actinopteri, Cypriniformes, Cyprinidae.